Molecule: ribosomal RNA, 468 nt
Filed under: uncultured bacterium
Lineage: Bacteria
Description: partial 16S ribosomal RNA
Rfam family: Bacterial small subunit ribosomal RNA
Source: RNAcentral
GACGAACGCUGGCGGUGUGCUUAACACAUGCAAGUCGAACGGUAAGGCCCUUUCGGGGGUACACGAGUGGCGAACGGGUGAGUAACACGUGAGUAACCUGCCCUCAUCUCUGGGAUAACAGUCGGAAACGGUUGCUAAUACUGGAUAUGAGCUUGCAAGGCAUCUUGUGGGUUGGAAAGAUUUUUUUUGGUUGGGGGUGGACUCGCGGCCUAUCAGCUUUUUGGUGAGGUAGUGGGUCACCAAGGCUUCGACGGGUAGCCGGCCUGGGAGGGCGACCGGCCACAUUGGGACUGAGAUACGGCCCAAACUCCUACGGGAGGCAGCAGUGGGGAAUAUUGCACAAUGGACGGAAGUCUGAUGCAGCAACGCCGCGUGCGGGAUGACGGCCUUCGGGUUGUAAACCGCUUUCAAUUGUGACGAAGCUUUUUUGUGACGGUAGCAGUAGAAGAAGCACCGGCUAACUACGUG